Molecule: ribosomal RNA, 432 nt
Filed under: uncultured archaeon
Lineage: Archaea
Description: bacterial SSU rRNA
Rfam family: Archaeal small subunit ribosomal RNA
Source: RNAcentral
UUCCGGUUGAUCCCGCCGGACCCCACUGCUAUCGGGAUAGGACUAAGACAUGCUAGUCGAGCGCCUCAGCCAAAAUGAGGCGCGGCAUACAGCUCAGUAACACGUGGCUAAUCUGCCCUUAGGAUAGGAAUAUCCCCGGGAAACUGGGGCUAAUUCCCAAUAGGCGAAGAACUCUGGAAUGAGUCUUCACCCGAAAAGAGCUUACGUUAUGCUCGUGAGUUUCGCCUAAGGAUGAGGCCGCGACCGAUCAGGUUGUUGGUGAGGUAAUGGCUCACCAAGCCUUUUACCGGUGCGGGCCGUGAGAGCGGGAGCCCGGAGAUGGGCACUGAGACAAGGGCCCAGGCCCUACGGGGCGCAGCAGUCGCGAAAACUUUGCAAUACACGAAAGUGUGACAGGGCUAUCCCGAGUGCCAUCCGCUGAGGAAGGCUUUU